RNAcentral lists this ribosomal RNA (373 nucleotides) under uncultured bacterium. RNAcentral describes it as "bacterial SSU rRNA". It matches the Rfam family "Bacterial small subunit ribosomal RNA", at positions 394 to 766 of the family's 1533-position model. The record is from RNAcentral.
AAGUAGCGUGAAGGAUGACUGCCUAUGGGUUGUAAACUUCUUUUAUAAAGGAAUAAGUCGGGUAUGCAUACCCGUUUGCAUGUACUUUAUGAAUAAGGAUCGGCUAACUCCGUGCCAGCAGCCGCGGUAAUACGGAGGAUCCGAGCGUUAUCCGGAUUUAUUGGGUUUAAAGGGAGCGUAGAUGGAUGUUUAAGUCAGUUGUGAAAGUUUGCGGCUCAACCGUAAAAUUGCAGUUGAUACUGGAUAUCUUGAGUGCAGUUGAGGCAGGCGGAAUUCGUGGUGUAGCGGUGAAAUGCUUAGAUAUCACGAAGAACUCCGAUUGCGAAGGCAGCCUGCUAAGCUGCAACUGACAUUGAGGCUCGAAAGUGUGGGU